This 1479-nucleotide ribosomal RNA is filed under the name Rhodococcus sp. SOD-7336. Its description in RNAcentral is "bacterial SSU rRNA". It matches the Rfam family "Bacterial small subunit ribosomal RNA". The record is from RNAcentral. Lineage: Bacteria; Bacillati; Actinomycetota; Actinomycetes; Mycobacteriales; Nocardiaceae.
AGAGUUUGAUCCUGGCUCAGGACGAACGCUGGCGGCGUGCUUAACACAUGCAAGUCGAGCGGUAAGGCCUUUCGGGGUACACGAGCGGCGAACGGGUGAGUAACACGUGGGUGAUCUGCCCUGCACUCUGGGAUAAGCUUGGGAAACUGGGUCUAAUACCGGAUAUGACCACAGUGCGCAUGUGUUGUGGUGGAAAGAUUUAUCGGUGCAGGAUGGGCCCGCGGCCUAUCAGCUUGUUGGUGGGGUAAUGGCCUACCAAGGCGACGACGGGUAGCCGACCUGAGAGGGUGACCGGCCACACUGGGACUGAGACACGGCCCAGACCCCUACGGGAGGCAGCAGUGGGGAAUAUUGCACAAUGGGCGGAAGCCUGAUGCAGCGACGCCGCGUGAGGGAUGAAGGCCUUCGGGUUGUAAACCUCUUUCAGCAGGGACGAAGCGUGAGUGACGGUACCUGCAGAAGAAGCACCGGCUAACUACGUGCCAGCAGCCGCGGUAAUACGUAGGGUGCGAGCGUUGUCCGGAAUUACUGGGCGUAAAGAGUUCGUAGGCGGUUUGUCGCGUCGUUUGUGAAAACCCGGGGCUCAACUUCGGGCUUGCAGGCGAUACGGGCAGACUUGAGUGUUUCAGGGGAGACUGGAAUUCCUGGUGUAGCGGUGAAAUGCGCAGAUAUCAGGAGGAACACCGGUGGCGAAGGCGGGUCUCUGGGAAACAACUGACGCUGAGGAACGAAAGCGUGGGUAGCAAACAGGAUUAGAUACCCUGGUAGUCCACGCCGUAAACGGUGGGCGCUAGGUGUGGGUUCCUUCCACGGGAUCUGUGCCGUAGCUAACGCAUUAAGCGCCCCGCCUGGGGAGUACGGCCGCAAGGCUAAAACUCAAAGGAAUUGACGGGGGCCCGCACAAGCGGCGGAGCAUGUGGAUUAAUUCGAUGCAACGCGAAGAACCUUACCUGGGUUUGACAUACACCGGAAAACCGUAGAGAUACGGUCCCCCUUGUGGUCGGUGUACAGGUGGUGCAUGGCUGUCGUCAGCUCGUGUCGUGAGAUGUUGGGUUAAGUCCCGCAACGAGCGCAACCCUUGUCUUAUGUUGCCAGCGCGUUAUGGCGGGGACUCGUAAGAGACUGCCGGGGUCAACUCGGAGGAAGGUGGGGACGACGUCAAGUCAUCAUGCCCCUUAUGUCCAGGGCUUCACACAUGCUACAAUGGCCAGUACAGAGGGCUGCGAGACCGUGAGGUGGAGCGAAUCCCUUAAAGCUGGUCUCAGUUCGGAUCGGGGUCUGCAACUCGACCCCGUGAAGUCGGAGUCGCUAGUAAUCGCAGAUCAGCAACGCUGCGGUGAAUACGUUCCCGGGCCUUGUACACACCGCCCGUCACGUCAUGAAAGUCGGUAACACCCGAAGCCGGUGGCCUAACCCCUCGUGGGAGGGAGCCGUCGAAGGUGGGAUCGGCGAUUGGGACGAAGUCGUAACAAGGUAACC